RNAcentral lists this microRNA (22 nucleotides) under Heligmosomoides polygyrus. Its description in RNAcentral is "hpo-miR-2-5p". Its record names the gene hpo-miR-2-5p. Lineage: Eukaryota; Metazoa; Nematoda; Chromadorea; Rhabditida; Heligmosomidae. The record is from miRBase by way of RNAcentral.
CGUCAAAGUGGUGGGUGAUUUG